AGGUAAUAGAUACCCGGGUAGUCCACGCCCUAAACGAUGUAAACUCGACAUUAGCGAUAUACUGUUAGUGUCCAAAGCGAAAAAGCGUUAAAGUUUACCACCUGGGAAGUACGACCGCAAGGUUGAAACUCAAAGGAAUUGGCGGGUCGCACAAGCGGUGGAGCAUGUGGUUUAAGUUACGAUGAUACGCGAGGAACCUUACCUGGGCGUAGAAUGUAACUUGACCGAUCCUGAAAGGGGUCGUUUAUAGCAAUAUACAGGUUACAAGGUGCUGCAUGGUUGUCGUCAGCUCGUGCCGUGAGGUGUUGGGUUAAGUCCCGCAACGAGCGCAA
This 332-nucleotide ribosomal RNA is filed under the name uncultured bacterium. RNAcentral's name for it is "bacterial SSU rRNA". It matches the Rfam family "Bacterial small subunit ribosomal RNA", at positions 774 to 1101 of the family's 1533-position model. The record is from RNAcentral.